Molecule: ribosomal RNA, 380 nt
Filed under: uncultured Clostridium sp.
Lineage: Bacteria; Bacillati; Bacillota; Clostridia; Eubacteriales; Clostridiaceae
Description: bacterial SSU rRNA
Rfam family: Bacterial small subunit ribosomal RNA
Source: RNAcentral
AACUUCGGGGAAGGCGUCUUCGGAGGACAGGAAGACAGUGGUGCAUGGUUGUCGUCAGCUCGUGUCGUGAGAUGUUGGGUUUAAGUCCCGCAACGAGCGCAACCCUUAUCGUUAGUUGCUACCAUUAGGUUGAGCACUCUAGCGAGACUGCCGGUUAACCGGGAGGAAGGUGGGGAUGACGUCAAAUCAUCAUGCCCCUUAUGUCUAGGGCUACACACGUGCUACAAUGGUGAGGACAAAGAGACGCAAGACCGCGAGGUGGAGCAAAUCUCACAAACCUCAUCCCAGUUCGGAUUGCAGGCUGAAACUCGCCUGCAUGAAGCCGGAGUUGCUAGUAAUCGCGAAUCAGCAUGUCGCGGUGAAUACGUUCCCGGGCCUUG